This 253-nucleotide ribosomal RNA is filed under the name uncultured prokaryote. RNAcentral's name for it is "partial 16S ribosomal RNA". It matches the Rfam family "Bacterial small subunit ribosomal RNA", at positions 525 to 777 of the family's 1533-position model. The record is from RNAcentral.
ACGAAGGGGGCUAGCGUUGCUCGGAAUUACUGGGCGUAAAGGGCGCGUAGGCGGAUAUUUAAGUCGGGGGUGAAAGCCCAGGGCUCAACCCUGGAAUUGCCUUCGAUACUGGAUAUCUUGAGUUCGGGAGAGGUGAGUGGAAUGCCGAGUGUAGAGGUGAAAUUCGUAGAUAUUCGGCGGAACACCAGUGGCGAAGGCGACUCACUGGCCCGAUACUGACGCUGAGGCGCGAAAGCGUGGGGAGCAAACAGGA